This 420-nucleotide ribosomal RNA is filed under the name bacterium. RNAcentral describes it as "partial 16S ribosomal RNA". It matches the Rfam family "Bacterial small subunit ribosomal RNA", at positions 355 to 776 of the family's 1533-position model. The record is from RNAcentral.
UGGGGGAUAUUGCACAAUGGGCGAAAGCCUGAUGCAGCGACGCCGCGUGGGGGAUGAAGGCUUUCGGGUUGUAAACCUCUUUCGCUAUCGAACAAGGCCCGCUUAGGGUGGGUUGAGGGUAGGUGGAGAAGAAGCGCCGGCUAACUACGUGCCAGCAGCCGCGGUAAUACGUAGGGCGCGAGCGUUGUCCGGAAUUAUUGGGCGUACAGGGCUUGUAGGCGGCUUGUUGCGCCUGCUGUGAAAACGCGGGGCUUAACUUCGGGCGUGCAGUGGGUACGGGCAGGCUUGAGUGUGGUAGGGGUGACUGGAAUUCCAGGUGUAGCGGUGGAAUGCGCAGAUAUCUGGAGGAACACCGAUGGCGAAGGCAGGUCACUGGGCCAUUACUGACGCUGAGGAGCGAAAGCAUGGGUAGCGAACAGG